This 235-nucleotide unclassified non-coding RNA is filed under the name Bacidia lutescens. RNAcentral describes it as "partial contains 5.8S ribosomal RNA, internal transcribed spacer 2, and large subunit ribosomal RNA". Lineage: Eukaryota; Fungi; Ascomycota; Lecanoromycetes; Lecanorales; Ramalinaceae. The record is from RNAcentral.
CGCACAUUGCGCCCUCCGGUACUCCGGGGGGCAUGCCUGUCCGAGCGUCAUUGCAACUCUCAAGCGUAGCUUGGUUUUGGACCUCAUUUCGCAAGAAGUGUGUCCGAAAAGCAGUGGAUGUCCGGCGUGACUUUGGGUGUAUUAAAUUUCUCACGCUUUGAAGCUCACGACGAAUAUCCAUAAUCUUUCUCUCAAGAUUGACCUCGGAUCAGACAGGGAUACCCGCUGAACUUAA